RNAcentral lists this ribosomal RNA (515 nucleotides) under uncultured bacterium. Its description in RNAcentral is "partial 16S ribosomal RNA". It matches the Rfam family "Bacterial small subunit ribosomal RNA", at positions 28 to 523 of the family's 1533-position model. The record is from RNAcentral.
GAUGAACGCUGGCGGCGUGCCUAAUACAUGCAAGUCGAGCGAAUGGAUUAAGAGCUUGCUCUUAUGAAGUUAGCGGCGGACGGGUGAGUAACACGUGGGUAACCUGCCCAUAAGACUGGGAUAACUCCGGGAAACCGGGGCGAAUACCGGAUAAUAUUUUGAACUGAAUGGUUCAAAAUUGAAAGGCGGCUUAGGCUGUCACUUAUGGAUGGAUCCGCGGUGCAUUAGCUAGUUGGUGAGGUAACGGCUCACCAAGGCAACGAUGCGUAGCCGACCUGAGAGGGUGAUCGGCCACACUGGGACUGAGACACGGCCCAGACUCCUACGGGAGGCAGCAGUAGGGAAUCUUCCGCAAUGGACGAAAGUCUGACGGAGCAACGCCGCGUGAGUGAUGAAGGCUUUCGGGUCGUAAAACUCUGUUGUUAGGGAAGAACAAGUGCUAGUUGAAUAAGCUGGCACCUUGACGGUACCUAACCAGAAAGCCACGGCUAACUACGUGCCAGCCGCCGCCGUAA